RNAcentral lists this ribosomal RNA (486 nucleotides) under uncultured bacterium. RNAcentral describes it as "bacterial SSU rRNA". It matches the Rfam family "Bacterial small subunit ribosomal RNA", at positions 28 to 524 of the family's 1533-position model. The record is from RNAcentral.
GAUGAACGCUAGCGGCAGGCUUAAUACAUGCAAGUCAAGGGGGUAGCAAUACAACCGGCGCACGGGUGAGUAACGCGUACACAACAUACCAUAUACUGGAGUAUAGCUUUGGGAAACUGAAGGUAAUCCUCCAUAACAUUGCGAGAGGGCAUCUGAUUGCAAUUAAAGUUUCGGCGGUAUAUGAUUGGUGUGCGUUUGAUUAGCUAGUUGGUAGGGUAACGGCCUACCAAGGCGACGAUCAAUAGCUGGCGUGAGAGCGCGACCAGCCACACUGGAACUGAGACACGGUCCAGACUCCUACGGGAGGCAGCAGUAGGGAAUAUUGGACAAUGGAGGAAACUCUGAUCCAGCCAUGCCGCGUGAUAGAUGAAGGCCCUCUGGGUUGUAAAUAUCUUUUAUCUGGGAAGAAACACUCCUAUUCUUAGGAACUUGACGGUACCAGAGGAAUAAGCAACCGGCUAACUCCGUGCCAGCAGCCGCGGUAAU